GGAACUCUCGGAGGAGAGGACCCCCGUUCAGAUGGCACAUCAACUAACCAUAGAAGACCGAAUUCAAAGACUUCUCUGUAGGAAGAGCUAUGCUUUUAUUUGUCUAUGAUUCUCCUCAUGUUUAUUCUGGAGUAGCUGCACAGUUCCCAGUGUUGACUGAGGAGUUGGCAUCAUUGCCAGUGAUAAAGAUGCUGGAUGAUGAUGAGAGACUUGUCUGUGUUUACGUUGGGCAUACGCUUCACAAGUGAACCUCAUGGAUGUCCCUCCACAGCCUCUGAAACUGAAGCUCCUAUCACAGGUGGCAUUCUGAUGUACUGGGUCCCUGCAGAAAAGAAAAAGCCACCAUGGCUUGUGCUUCCCCCCUGAUGCUGAGAUCUGUGGCUGAAAGGAGAU
RNAcentral lists this unclassified non-coding RNA (393 nucleotides) under Mus musculus (house mouse). RNAcentral describes it as "Pax6 antisense RNA". Lineage: Eukaryota; Metazoa; Chordata; Mammalia; Rodentia; Muridae. The record is from RNAcentral.